UGGGGAAUUUUGGACAAUGGGGGCAACCCUGAUCCAGCCAUGCCGCGUGAGUGAAGAAGGCCUUCGGGUUGUAAAGCUCUUUCGGUGGGGAAGAAAUUGCACCUUCUAAUACAGGGUGUAGAUGACGGUACCCGCAUAAGAAGCACCGGCUAACUACGUGCCAGCAGCCGCGGUAAUACGUAGGGUGCGAGCGUUAAUCGGAAUUACUGGGCGUAAAGCGUGCGCAGGUGGUUGUGUAAGUCAGAGGUGAAAUCCCCGGGCUCAACCUGGGAACUGCCUUUGAGACUGCACGGCUAGAGGAUAGCAGAGGGGGGUGGAAUUCCACGUGUAGCAGUGAAAUGCGUAGAGAUGUGGAGGAACACCGAUGGCGAAGGCAGCCCCCUGGGCUAUUACUGACACUCAUGCACGAAAGCGUGGGGAGCAAACA
Molecule: ribosomal RNA, 427 nt
Filed under: uncultured bacterium
Lineage: Bacteria
Also listed under: 1 other name
Description: bacterial SSU rRNA
Rfam family: Bacterial small subunit ribosomal RNA
Source: RNAcentral